This 274-nucleotide ribosomal RNA is filed under the name uncultured microorganism. RNAcentral's name for it is "partial 16S ribosomal RNA". It matches the Rfam family "Bacterial small subunit ribosomal RNA", at positions 9 to 272 of the family's 1533-position model. The record is from RNAcentral.
GAGUUUGAUCGUGCUCAGGAUGAACGCUGGCGGCGUGCCUAAUACAUGCAAGUCGUACGAACAGCGGAAAGUGCUUGCACUUUCCAAGUAAGUGGCGAACGGGUGAGUAACACGUGAAUAACCUACCUCAAAGUCUGGGGAUAACCAUUGGAAACAGUGACUAAUACCGGAUAAAACCUAGUAGCACAUGCUACAAGGUUAAAAGCUGCGUUUGCAGCGCUUUAAGAUGGAUUCGCGGUGCAUUAGUUAGUUGGUGAGGUAAAGGCUCACCAAG